Molecule: ribosomal RNA, 576 nt
Filed under: uncultured bacterium
Lineage: Bacteria
Description: bacterial SSU rRNA
Rfam family: Bacterial small subunit ribosomal RNA
Source: RNAcentral
ACGGGUGAGUAACACGUAGGCAACCUGCCCUCAAGCUUGGGACAGCUACCGGAAACGGUAGCUAAUACCGAAUACUUGUUUUCUUCGCCUGAAGAGAACUGGAAAGACGGAGCAAUCUGUCACUUGGGGAUGGGCCUGCGGCGCAUUAGCUAGUUGGUGAGGUAACGGCUCACCAAGGCGACGAUGCGUAGCCGACCUGAGAGGGUGAUCGGCCACACUGGGACUGAGACACGGCCCAGACUCCUACGGGAGGCAGCAGUAGGGAAUCUUCCGCAAUGGGCGAAAGCCUGACGGAGCAAUGCCGCGUGAGUGAUGAAGGUUUUCGGAUCGUAAAGCUCUGUUGCCAGGGAAGAACGCUUGGGAGAGUAACUGCUCUCAAGGUGACGGUACCUGAGAAGAAAGCCCCGGCUAACUACGUGCCAGCAGCCGCGGUAAUACGUAGGGGGCAAGCGUUGUCCGGAAUUAUUGGGCGUAAAGCGCGCGCAGGCGGUCAUGUAAGUCUGGUGUUUAAUCCCGGGGCUCAACCCCGGAUCGCACUGGAAACUGCGUGACUUGAGUGCAGAAGAGGAGAGUGGA